RNAcentral lists this transfer RNA (75 nucleotides) under Bacillota bacterium. RNAcentral describes it as "Firmicutes bacterium tRNA-Gln". It matches the Rfam family "tRNA". From Rfam's summary of the family: Transfer RNA (tRNA) molecules are approximately 80 nucleotides in length. Their secondary structure includes four short double-helical elements and three loops (D, anti-codon, and T loops). Further hydrogen bonds mediate the characteristic L-shaped molecular structure. tRNAs have two regions of fundamental functional importance: the anti-codon, which is responsible for specific mRNA codon recognition, and the 3' end, to which the tRNAs corresponding amino acid is attached (by aminoacyl-tRNA synthetases). tRNAs cope with the degeneracy of the genetic code in two manners: having more than one tRNA (with a specific anti-codon) for a particular amino acid; and 'wobble' base-pairing, i.e. permitting non-standard base-pairing at the 3rd anti-codon position. RNAcentral also lists the same sequence under 1 other name. Lineage: Bacteria; Bacillati; Bacillota. The record is from RNAcentral.
UGCCUCGUAGCCAAGUGGUAAGGCAUAAGACUUUGACUCUUACAUGCGCUAGUCCGAAUCUAGCCGAGGCAGCCA